GUAAAAUAAUGGAUAAAGUAGUAAAAUAAUGGAGAAAGUAGUAAAAUAAUGGAUAAAGUAGGAAAAUAAUGGAUAAAGUAGUAAAAUAAUGGAUAAAGUAGUAAAAUAAUGGAUAAAGUGGCUCUCAGGUGGAUUUCCUUUUGGCUUUUUUCCUACCGCCCUCCUGGUACGGCGAACAUCAUGGUGUCUAGUCCUGACAGGCAGACGCCUCCACAGCAGCAAUAAUGACGCAGUUCUUGGCACGGCACAGACAGAAUGUUCUCUAAAAACAGAACCAGCCAGAGUGGUUCUAAAAGCUCAGAAACUCUCUGACUGAACCUCUCCUUCCACCGAGUCUGACGUCUUCCAGGUGGGACCUGGUUGGUGGUUAACCUCUGACUGCAGGUUAACCUCUGACUGCAGGGCCCUCACCAGUGUUCAUAGAAACUUCUUUUCUCAGGUUCUAAGUGCAGAACAGCUAGUCUCCUCUUUCCCAAAGAGGUUUCCUUUAAGAUCAUUCCCCGCUGUUACCCAGUAAAAUCAUUUUUGAUUAAAUUCAUACCACCUGUACUUCCUGCAGCACUUACUCUGUUUCUCACCUGUUUUGGUCUUGGCGUCUAUGGUAAGGUAUUUGUCGCUUCAUACUGAAUAUUUAUGACAAAUUGAAACUUUAUUUUAAGGAUGUUUUAGUUGGAAUCACACAAUAUAAAGAAGAACUUUCUGACCAUUUCUUUUUAUGUAAACUUUUGCUGCUGUUGGCCAAGUUUUAUAUCCACAAAUGUAAGAUAAGUGUUAUGAUGAAACCCUCAUGUUUCUCUUUUUAAAGGAAGCAACAGUUUAUUUCUCUACGUUGUCCUCCUCAAUUACAAAAACGUUAUUAAAACUUUAUCUUUAUGCUCUAAAGUCCAAAUAUUUAUGUAAUCUCCAUACAUGCUGUUAUGUGUAGCUUUAUUUUAUUGGUCAUCUUUUUCUACAAACCCCUGGCGAUUGUUCACUUUUCUUUGUGUUCUUUCUUUUUGUAUGUUACAAAGAAUAUUCUAAUAAAGUAAAAAUAGAAAACUU
Fundulus heteroclitus (mummichog) is the source of this 1041-nucleotide long non-coding RNA. RefSeq lists it as uncharacterized. The record is from RefSeq and is a predicted model, not a curated record. Lineage: Eukaryota; Metazoa; Chordata; Actinopteri; Cyprinodontiformes; Fundulidae. The transcript has 2 exons.